Brassica rapa (field mustard) is the source of this 537-nucleotide long non-coding RNA. RefSeq lists it as uncharacterized. NCBI's taxonomy places the organism in Eukaryota, Viridiplantae, Streptophyta, Magnoliopsida, Brassicales, Brassicaceae. The record is from RefSeq and is a predicted model, not a curated record.
GUGUCUACAAGAUUCUUGUCACUAGUAUCAGCACCAUGAAUAGUCUUCUUGAAGUCCUCGUUAUACUCGGCCUCGUAUAAAUCCACGAUCGAUUUCGUACGUUGAUUAUGCAUAGAAAAGCCAUUGGAUCUUUGGCUCUUUGCAAGAAUUUGCCCAUUCUCAAACACAAGCUCCAUAUACUCUUGAUCAGUUAACCUGCAACAACAAUAAAUCAGCUUGGUUGAUGAUGAUGAUGAUGAUGGAGAAGUCAUGUUUGUCUUGUUGAAUUAUCCAAAAGGCUUUGUCUUCGUUUGGAAGAGUAAGUGAAAACUAUCUUUCAUUUUGUUGAUCAACCUCAGAGGCUUUUAGCUCUCUUUAUAUUUCGCUUUUCUUUAUUAUUAUUAUUUUUUGUUCUCAGGUGCAAUUAAUAUCUUAGUAGGACAGUACUGUUCAUUUGUACUAAAUCGAAUCUUGGCAUCUUCUAGUUUUUUCUAGAACUUUCAUUGCAAAAUUUUGAUUCCUAAAUACGAAAUCAUAAUAAAAUCUAGUCUUACUGCU